Molecule: ribosomal RNA, 253 nt
Filed under: uncultured bacterium
Lineage: Bacteria
Description: partial 16S ribosomal RNA
Rfam family: Bacterial small subunit ribosomal RNA
Source: RNAcentral
GACGUAGGGGGCAAGCGUUGUCCGGAAUCAUUGGGCGUAAAGAGCGUGUAGGCGGUCCGGUCAGUCGGUUGUGAAAGUCAAGGGCUCAACCCUUGAAUGCCGGCCGAUACUGCCGGGCUAGAGUCCGGAAGAGGUGAGUGGAAUUCCGAGUGUAGAGGUGAAAUUCGUAGAUAUUCGGAGGAACACCAGUGGCGAAGGCGGCUCACUGGUCCGGUACUGACGCUGAGGUGCGAAAGCGUGGGGAGCAAACAGG